RNAcentral lists this ribosomal RNA (414 nucleotides) under uncultured bacterium. RNAcentral's name for it is "bacterial SSU rRNA". It matches the Rfam family "Bacterial small subunit ribosomal RNA", at positions 29 to 486 of the family's 1533-position model. The record is from RNAcentral.
AACGAACGCUGGCGGCAGGCUUAACACAUGCAAGUCGAACGGGUGUAGCAAUACAUCAGUGGCAGACGGGUGAGUAACACGUGGGAACCUUCCUAGGGGUACGGAACAACUCAGGGAAACUUGAGCUAAUACCGUAUACGUCCGUAAGGAGAAAGAUUCAUCGCCCCUAGACGGGCCCGCGUCGGAUUAGGUAGUUGGUGGGGUAACGGCCUACCAAGCCUACGAUCCGUAGCUGAUCUGAGAGGANGAUCAGCCACACUGGGACUGAGACACGGCCCAGACUCCUACGGGAGGCAGCAGUGGGGAAUCUUGGACAAUGGGCGCAAGCCUGAUCCAGCCAUGCCGCGUGAGUGAAGAAGGCCUUAGGGUUGUAAAGCUCUUUUACCAGGGACGAUAAUGACGGUACCUGGAGAA